CUGGACAAGGUCCCAAGGGUCCGGCUGUUCGCCGGUUAAAGCGGUACGUGAGCUGGGUUCAGAACGUAAAUUACAUUGCGUUCUACCACAGAAAUGUGGUACAAUAAAUCUGACUAAUAUCGGUGAAACCCGAACUGAAUUCCGAACAUUCAGAGGGCAAUACCGAGGGAAGAUCAGAUUGGUGUCAAGCGAAGAAAUACCAUAUAUUGCAGGUUUUCUUGAUGGCGAUGGUUGCGUAAUGGCACAGCUUGUCCGCCGUAAAGAUUAUGUUUACGGCUACCAAAUAAGGACAAGCAUCGUGUUUUACCAACAGUCAAAGAAUCAAGAGAUACUGCAAUGGCUAAAAAACCAAUUAGAGUAUGGAUAUAUUCGACAACGAAACGAUAACAUGGUGGAAUAUACCAUAGUUGGUUUAAGGGAAGUAAAGAGUGUUUUAAAGCUUCUCUUGCCGUAUCUUCGUUUGAAGAAAAAGCUUGCUGAACAGGUAAUAAGGCUUAUCGAGCUUCAUCCCAAAAAGAUGACGCCGAAGGAGCUGAUUAGAUUGAGUAAACUAGUUGAUGGCACAGCAAGGUUCAAUUACUCAAAGAAAAGGACAAACACAAGCGAAACAGUUCAGCAGUUUUUAAAAACCAAUCUUUUCCCCGUAGAGACUGAAGCGUAAGCUGAGAUAGCUUCAAAAGCUAUAAUACGUCAGCCCCUCCUUGAAAAUGGCAAGAGGGUGAAGAUAUAGUCCAUGCCGUUAGUAAUAGCGGAUAAACAUGCGUAAGACAGUUCGGUCUCUCUCUGUCGUGGGCGCGAGGAUAUUUGAUAGGAGCAAUCCCUAGUACGAGAGGACCGGGAUUGACGGACCGCCGGUGUUCCAGUUGUCACGCCAGUGGCAUCGCUGGGUAGCCGUGUCCGGAAGGGAUAAGCGCUGAAGGCAUCUAAGCGCCAAGCCCCCCUCAAGACUAUAUAUCCCGUCCCUUCGGGGACACAGGCACCUUGGAGACUACAAGGUUGAUAGGUCUUAGGUGUAAGACGAGCAAUCGUUUUAGCUCAAAGAUACUAAUCUGCCGAUCGGCUUGACCAC
RNAcentral lists this ribosomal RNA (1069 nucleotides) under Candidatus Omnitrophota bacterium. RNAcentral describes it as "Candidatus Omnitrophica bacterium partial 23S ribosomal RNA". It matches the Rfam family "Bacterial large subunit ribosomal RNA", at positions 2553 to 2925 of the family's 2925-position model. The record is from RNAcentral. Lineage: Bacteria; Pseudomonadati; Candidatus Omnitrophota.